GACAUCAGGAGGUUAGUGCAAUGGCAUAAGCCAGCUUGACUGCGAGCGUGACGGCGCGAGCAGGUGCGAAAGCAGGUCAUAGUGAUCCGGUGGUUCUGAAUGGAAGGGCCAUCGCUCAACGGAUAAAAGGUACUCCGGGGAUAACAGGCUGAUACCGCCCAAGAGUUCAUAUCGACGGCGGUGUUUGGCACCUCGAUGUCGGCUCAUCACAUCCUGGGGCUGAAGUAGGUCCCAAGGGUAUGGCUGUUCGCCAUUUAAAGUGGUACGCGAGCUGGGUUUAGAACGUCGUGAGACAGUUCGGUCCCUAUCUGCCGUGGGCGCUGGAGAACUGAGGGGGGCUGCUCCUAGUACGAGAGGACCGGAGUGGACGCAUCACUGGUGUUCGGGUUGUCAUGCCAAUGGCACUGCCCGGUAGCUAAAUGCGGAAGAGAUAAGUGCUGAAAGCAUCUAAGCACGAAACUUGCCCCGAGAUGAGUUCUCCCUGACUCCUUGAG
RNAcentral lists this ribosomal RNA (494 nucleotides) under Escherichia coli. Its description in RNAcentral is "partial 23S ribosomal RNA". It matches the Rfam family "Bacterial large subunit ribosomal RNA", at positions 2334 to 2825 of the family's 2925-position model. The record is from RNAcentral. Lineage: Bacteria; Pseudomonadati; Pseudomonadota; Gammaproteobacteria; Enterobacterales; Enterobacteriaceae.